This is a small nucleolar RNA of Monodon monoceros (narwhal), 205 nucleotides long. Its record names the gene SNORA73. It matches the Rfam family "Small nucleolar RNA SNORA73 family". From Rfam's summary of the family: U17 (SNORA73A and SNORA73B) also known as E1 belongs to the H/ACA class of small nucleolar RNAs (snoRNAs). Vertebrate U17 is intron-encoded and ranges in length from 200-230 nucleotides, longer than most snoRNAs. It is one of the most abundant snoRNAs in human cells and is essential for the cleavage of pre-rRNA within the 5' external transcribed spacer (ETS). Lineage: Eukaryota; Metazoa; Chordata; Mammalia; Artiodactyla; Monodontidae. The record is from Ensembl.
CCAACGUGGAUACCCCGGGAGGUCACUCUCCCCGGGCUCUGUCCUGGUGGCGUAGGGGAGCAUAGGGCUCUGCCCCAUGAUGUACAGUCCCUUUCCACAACGUUGGAGAUGAAGCCGGGCCUUGAGUCUGCGCCUGCAUAUUCCUACAGCUUCUCAGAGUCCUGUGGACAACGACUGAGGAGACAAACCAUGCAGGAAAACAGCU